CUACUUUAUCUUGGUUCCAGAUAGAAAAACUAGUCUCCAACUUAGCUAGUAGUCUUCUUCUUAAUCCGGUUUUUAAUCCUAUGUAAGACCCUUUUACUUUGAAGGUAACUUCUCUUCGUUUACUUUGCGAAAGUAUUUUUAAGAGCAUCUUAGCUCUUACUUCAAAAGUAAGACAUGUACGGUCUAGUACUUAAUCAUUGACGUAGGUUAGAGGCUUUUCAGGGCUAACAAAGCUAAAAACUUUACCCUAUAAAUGCCUUAGGGGUACUUAUCCUAGUUUGGAAUAAGGUACGAUAAAGGUAUUCUAAGAAGAAAGAAUAAGAAUUCGUUCGGGAGCUCUCCCGAAUCAACUAGUACUAAAGACAAAAGAGAAAGAAAAGGAAAAACAAACAAAGCUCUUUCUAUAGCAGGCUAAGAGGAAGAUAACUAAGAAAAGGCUAGCUCUACAUGCCUAGGUACACAGAUGUAUGUAUCUAAGAAGAGAGGUAGCCUUGUUAUCCCGGCAAUACGAAUAAUGAUUUGAACAACUUCUCUACUUUAUCUUGGUUCCAGAUAGAAAAACUAGUCUCCAACUUAGCUAGUAGUCUUCUUCUUAAUCCGGUUUUUAAUCCUAUGUAAGACCCUUUUACUUUGAAGGUAACUUCUCUUCGUUUACUGUGCGAAAGUAUUUUUAAGAGCAUCUUAGCUCUUACUUCAAAAGUAAGACAUGUACGGUCUAGUACUUAAUCAUUGACGUAGGUUAGAGGCUUUUCAGGGCUAACAAAGCUAAAAACUUUACCCUAUAAAUGCCUUAGGGGUACUUAUCCUAGUUUGGAAUAAGGUACGAUAAAGGUAUUCUAAGAAGAAAGAAUAAGAAUUCGUUCGGGAGCUCUCCCGAAUCAACUAGUACUAAAUACAAAAGAGAAAGAAAAGGAAAAACAAACAAAGCUCUUUCUAUAGCAGGCUAAGAGGAAGAUAACUAAGAAAAGGCUAGCUCUACAUGCCUAGGUACACAGAUGUAUGUAUCUAAGACAAGUACCUAAUUGCUUUUACACGUUCUCGAGAUAAACGGAGACGGUAAGAUACUCAGCGAAGGAAAAACGCAUACCGUGGGGGUGAGGGAAACCGUCGUAGAUGAUUAAGCCUUGAAUUAAACUUUCGGUAUAAAGCUGGACCUGCGAAAACCCUACGAAGAUUAUUGGUUGCUUACCGUUCACGAGAAGAAAAAAUCUAGGAUAAAGUUAGCCUUGAAAGGCGCAGCUAGGAAAAAAUAAUGCAGAACAAAAAUGAGGAUAUAACCCUCAAUGAGAUGCAUAACGAACUGCAUUUUGGUUAUCACCUAAAUAAAGACAGAAAACAACUUAGAAAAAGUGCCGAGCUAUCUCUUAAACUAUUCGGUUACUAAAAAAAGGCAGAAAGUAUUAUGCCAAUUGGUGGUACAAUUGAUUAGCUAAUGCUUUUUAACCUAGCCUAAAACGUCAAGAAAAAAGACGUCAUGGAGCUGCACUGUACUCGCACUUUCUCCAAGUUCUUAGGCAAAAGAAAAAUAUUCCCGAUUUUAGUGAAAAAAAACCGAAAAACUGGGGUAUAACAUCCCACCUAGAGCUUUCUAUCCUUUCUAGAGGGAGGUUCGGCAUGUAUGCUGAAAGUAGCUUAUGCCGAAAGGUGUCUUAAGAUAUCCCUAGAUACUCUAGCUCAUACCUUAAGACAAAUGAGUGAAAUUUAACUCAUAGGCAAAGGGAGGAAAAGGGCGAUCCUAGCCUUUAGGACAUAAAAGGUAUAGGUAUGCUAGCUCAGGAAUCCAAAGGCUUUAUCACA
This 1797-nucleotide ribosomal RNA is filed under the name Triticum aestivum (bread wheat). RNAcentral describes it as "partial small subunit ribosomal RNA". The record is from RNAcentral. Lineage: Eukaryota; Viridiplantae; Streptophyta; Magnoliopsida; Poales; Poaceae.